GUGAGGAAUAUUGCGCAAUGGAGGCAACUCUGACGCAGCCAUGCCGCGUGCAGGAAGAAGGCGCUACGCGUUGUAAACUGCUUUUAACCGGGAAGAAACCCCAGGACGUGUCCUGGGUUGACGGUACCGGAGGAAUAAGCACCGGCUAACUUCGUGCCAGCAGCCGCGGUAAUACGAAGGGUGCAAGCGUUAUCCGGAUUCAUUGGGUUUAAAGGGUGCGUAGGCGGAGCGUUAAGUCAGUGGUGAAAUCCUGCAGCUUAACUGUAGACUUGCCAUUGAUACUGGCGCUCUUGAGUGCGCUUGAAGUGGGCGGAAUGUGCCGUGUAGCGGUGAAAUGCUUAGAUAUGACACAGAACACCAAUUGCGAAGGCAGCUCACUAAGGCGAUACUGACGCUGAGGCACGAAAGCGUGGGGAUCGAACAGGAUUAGAUACCCGAGUAGUCC
This 445-nucleotide ribosomal RNA is filed under the name uncultured bacterium. Its description in RNAcentral is "partial 16S ribosomal RNA". It matches the Rfam family "Bacterial small subunit ribosomal RNA", at positions 354 to 796 of the family's 1533-position model. The record is from RNAcentral.